GCAAGUCGAACGCGAAAAUACCUUCGGGUGCGAGUAGAGUGGCGGACGGGGGAGUAACGCGUGGGAAUCUGCCCUGCAGCGGGGGACAACCCGAGGAAACUCGGGCUAAUACCGCAUACGUCCUACGGGAGAAAGGGGGCUUCGGCUCUCGCUGCAGGAUGAGCCCGCGUCCGAUUAGCUUGUUGGUGGGGUGACGGCCCACCAAGGCGACGAUCGGUAGCUGGUCUGAGAGGAUGAUC
Molecule: ribosomal RNA, 239 nt
Filed under: uncultured bacterium
Lineage: Bacteria
Description: partial 16S ribosomal RNA
Rfam family: Bacterial small subunit ribosomal RNA
Source: RNAcentral